Molecule: ribosomal RNA, 252 nt
Filed under: uncultured bacterium
Lineage: Bacteria
Description: partial 16S ribosomal RNA
Rfam family: Bacterial small subunit ribosomal RNA
Source: RNAcentral
UACAGAGGCCUCGAGCGUUAGGCGGAAUCACUGGGCUUAAAGCGUGUGUAGGUGGAUGCCUAAGUACCUUGUGAAAUCCCACGGCUUAACCGUGGAACUGCUGGGUAUACUGGGCGUCUUGAGCCACUCAGGGGCUACCGGAACAAGCGGUGGAGCGGUGAAAUGCGUAGAUAUCGCUUGGAACGCCAAUGGUGAAAACAGGUAGCUGGGGGUGUGCUGACACUGAGACACGAAAGCCAGGGGAGCAAACGG